RNAcentral lists this ribosomal RNA (155 nucleotides) under uncultured Bacillota bacterium. Its description in RNAcentral is "uncultured Firmicutes bacterium partial 16S ribosomal RNA". It matches the Rfam family "Bacterial small subunit ribosomal RNA", at positions 367 to 514 of the family's 1533-position model. Lineage: Bacteria; Bacillati; Bacillota. The record is from RNAcentral.
CGCAAUGGACGAAAGUCUGACGGAGCGACGCCGCGUGAGCGAAGAAGGCCUUCGGGUCGUAAAGCUCUGUUGUUAGGGAAGAACAAGUACGAGAGUAACUGCUCGUACCUUGACGGUACCUAACCAGAAAGCCACGGCUAACUACGUGCCAGCAG